Molecule: transfer RNA, 70 nt
Filed under: Polyipnus polli
Lineage: Eukaryota; Metazoa; Chordata; Actinopteri; Stomiiformes; Sternoptychidae
Description: tRNA-Pro
Source: RNAcentral
AUUGUUAGAGGGGGGUUAGUUUAGGAUUUUAGCUUUAGGGGCUAAGGGUGUGUUAAGGCCUCUUCUGUUA